This 793-nucleotide ribosomal RNA is filed under the name uncultured bacterium. Its description in RNAcentral is "bacterial SSU rRNA". It matches the Rfam family "Bacterial small subunit ribosomal RNA", at positions 104 to 909 of the family's 1533-position model. The record is from RNAcentral.
GGGUGAGUAAAAGGUAGGAAUCUACCCCUUGGACGGAGAUAGCUACUGGAAACGGUAGGUAAACUUCGAUAAGCCCGAGAGGGGAAAGUGGUGAGACAGCCGAGGGAUGAGCCUACUCUCCAUCAGGUAGUUGGUGAGAUAAAAGCUUACCAAGCCGAUGACGGAUAACCGGUGUGAGAGCAUGAACGGUCACAAGGGCACUGAGAGACGGGCCCUACUCCUACGGGAGGCAGCAGUGGGGAAUCUUGGACAAUGGGCGAAAGCCUGAUCCAGCGGCGCCGCGUGGAGGAAGAAGUCCUUCGGGAUGUAAACUUCUGAACUAGCCGAAUAAAAGGCCUGUGGACACACAGGAGAAGAAAGUAGGCUAGGAAAAGUCCCGGCUAACUACGUGCCAGCAGCCGCGGUAAGACGUAGGGGGCAAGCGUUACCCGGAAUUACUGGGCGUAAAGGGGGCGUAGGCGGUAAAAAAAGUCAUCUGUGAAAACCUAUUGCUCAACGAUAGGCUAGCGGAUGAAACUGAAUUACUUGAGGGCACCAGAGGUAGACGGAAUUACCCGAGUAGGGGUGAAAUCCGCAGAUACGGGUAGGAACGCCGGUGGAGAAGUCGGUCUACUGGGGUGCACCAGACGCUGAGGCCCGAAAGCUAGGGGAGCAAACCGGAUUAGAUACCCGGGUAGUCCUAGCCGUAAACGAUGCUCACUAGGUGUAGGGAGUGAUAAACUCUCUGUGCUGAAGCGAACGCGCUAAGUGAGCCGCCUGGGGAGUACGUCCGCAAGGAUGAAACUCAAAGGAA